CACAAAAUGACUCUCGGCAACGGAUAUCUCGGCUCUUGCAUCGAUGAAGAACGUAGCGAAAUGCGAUACUUGGUGUGAAUUGCAGAAUCCCGUGAACCAUCGAGUCUUUGAACGCAAGUUGCGCCCAAAGCCAUUAGGUUGAGGGCACGCCUGCCUGGGUGUCACA
This 166-nucleotide ribosomal RNA is filed under the name Millettia lasiantha. Its description in RNAcentral is "5.8S ribosomal RNA". It matches the Rfam family "5.8S ribosomal RNA". Rfam says of the family: 5.8S ribosomal RNA (5.8S rRNA) is a component of the large subunit of the eukaryotic ribosome. It is transcribed by RNA polymerase I as part of the 45S precursor that also contains 18S and 28S rRNA. The record is from RNAcentral. Lineage: Eukaryota; Viridiplantae; Streptophyta; Magnoliopsida; Fabales; Fabaceae.